AAUCUUUCGCAAUGUACGCAAGUCUGACGGAGCAACGCCGCGCGAGUGAUGAAGGGUUUCGGAUCGUAAAACUCAGUUGUUAGGGAAGAGCAAGUAUCGGAGUCACUGCCGGUCGCUUUACGGUACCUGACGAGAAAGCCACGGCGAACAACGUGCCAGCAGCCGCGGUAAUACGUAGGUGGCAAGCGUUGUCCGGAUUUUUUGUGCGUAAAGCGCGGGCAGGCGGUCUUUUAAGUCUAAUGUGAAAUCUUACAGCUUAACUGUAAGCGGUCAUUGGAAACUGGGAGACUUGAGUGCAGAAGAGGAGAGUGGAAUUCCAUGUGUAGCGGUGAAAUGCGUAGAGAUAUGGAGGAACACCAGUGGCGAAGGCGACUCUCUGGUCUGUAACUGACGCUGAGGCGCGAAAGCGUGGGGAUCAAACA
RNAcentral lists this ribosomal RNA (422 nucleotides) under uncultured bacterium. Its description in RNAcentral is "partial 16S ribosomal RNA". It matches the Rfam family "Bacterial small subunit ribosomal RNA", at positions 360 to 774 of the family's 1533-position model. The record is from RNAcentral.